GACGAACGCUGGCGGCGUGCUUAACACAUGCAAGUCGAACGGAAAGGCCCUGCCUUUCUUGGGUGCUCGAGUGGCGAACGGGUGAGUAACACGUGAGUAACCUGCCCGUGACCUUGGGAUAACUUCAGGAAACUGGGGCUAAUACCGGAUAGGAGCUCCUGCUGCAUGGUGUGGGUUGGAAAGUUUCGGCGGUUGGGGAAGGACUCGCGUCUUAGCAGUUUGUGGGUGGGGUUGUGGCAUAGCCUGGCGUUGACGGGUAGCCGGCCUGAGAGUGUGACCGGCCACAGUGGGACUGAGAUACGGCCCGUACUCCUACGGGAGGCAGCAGUGGGAAAUAUUCCACGCUGGGCGGAAGCCGUAUGCAGCGUCGCCGCGUGCGGGAUGACGGCCUUCGGGUAGUAACCCGUUUUCGACUGGGACGAAGCGUGAGUGACGGUAAUGUGUAAAGAAGCACCGGCUAACUACGUG
This 468-nucleotide ribosomal RNA is filed under the name uncultured bacterium. Its description in RNAcentral is "partial 16S ribosomal RNA". It matches the Rfam family "Bacterial small subunit ribosomal RNA", at positions 28 to 507 of the family's 1533-position model. The record is from RNAcentral.